AAGGGGUGUAUUUAUUAGAUUAAAAACCAAUGCCCUUCGGGGCUCUUUGGUGAAUCAUAAUAACUCAACGAAUCGCAGGGCCUUGCGCCGGCGAUGGUUCAUUCAAACUUCUGCCCUAUCAACUUUCGAUGGUAGGAUAGUGGUACGUACUUGCGAUCUUGUAAUAAAAUCCGAUGCUAACUGGGACACCUAUAGGCCUACCAUGGUGUCAACGGGUAACGGAGGAUUAGGGUUCGAUUCCGGAGAGGGAGCCUGAGAAACGUAAGUCUUAUUAUUCUCCUUUUCCCCCGGUUGGUCCUCUCCGUUGUCCGCGCUGAUUGCCGCGGGGGAGGCACCUAUUAUAUUUCGCCUAAAUGCUAUGAAUCCGUAUACUAAUAUGCCGUUUUACAGGGCUACCACAUCCAAGGAAGGCAGCAGGCGCGCAAAUUACCCAAUCCCGACACGGGGAGGUAGUACGUUGGCCCUCUAAUCCCUCGGCCAAAUCAAAAUAACUGACAGUUCAACUAGGUGACAAUAAAUAUUAAUCUUGGGCUCCUUUUGGGUCUGAGAAUUGAAAUGAGAACGAGUUAAAUCUCCUAUCGAGGAACAAUUGGAGGGCAAGUCUGGUGCCAGCAGCCGCGGUAAUUCCAGCUCCAAUAGCGUAUAUUAAAGUUGUUGCAGUUAAAAAGCUCGUAGUUGAACCUUGGGCCUGGUUGGCCGGUCCGCCUCACCGCGUGCACUGGUUCGGCCGGGCCUUUCUUUCUGGGGAGCCACAUGCCCUUCGCUGGGUGUGUCGGGGAACCAGGACUUUUACUUUGAAAAAAUUAGAGUGU
Molecule: unclassified non-coding RNA, 812 nt
Filed under: Phlyctis brasiliensis
Lineage: Eukaryota; Fungi; Ascomycota; Lecanoromycetes; Phlyctidaceae
Description: partial 18S small subunit ribosomal RNA
Rfam family: Eukaryotic small subunit ribosomal RNA
Source: RNAcentral